GCUGCGGUAGCUCAAUUGGUCAGAGCAUCGCACGUGUAAUGCGAAGACGGUGGGAUCGUUCCCCACCUGCGGCA
Molecule: non-coding RNA, 74 nt
Organism: Dermacentor albipictus
Lineage: Eukaryota; Metazoa; Arthropoda; Arachnida; Ixodida; Ixodidae
Source: the annotation of a RefSeq genome assembly